GGUUGUGGCUCAGUGGUAGAGUACUUGCCUAGCAUGUGUGAAGCACUGGGUUCAAUCCUCAGCACCA
RNAcentral lists this transfer RNA (67 nucleotides) under Marmota monax (woodchuck). RNAcentral describes it as "tRNA.Ala". Lineage: Eukaryota; Metazoa; Chordata; Mammalia; Rodentia; Sciuridae. The record is from RNAcentral.